Numida meleagris (helmeted guineafowl) is the source of this 3413-nucleotide long non-coding RNA. RefSeq lists it as uncharacterized. The transcript is spliced from 2 exons. The record is from RefSeq and is a predicted model, not a curated record. Lineage: Eukaryota; Metazoa; Chordata; Aves; Galliformes; Numididae.
UGUUCCUGCGCAUAGCUCAGGAGGAGCAGAUAGGAAGAAGCAAACCAAGCUUCAGCUGUUCGAAACCUCUUACUGACUGGCACCAUGUGCACGCAUGGUGAAAUCCUGUUAUCAUGCACAACAUGGUAGCCUGGAAGCUAAAUAAAACUCACUUGACAACCCGUUGUUAAAUAUUGAUUUUCAUUUAAUACAUAGAAUUCUAAAAUGAAAACUCGGUCCGAUUGGGAUUGCUCCUGCUUCCUUCACUCCUGCUGGCUGAAAUACACCAGUUGUGUGUGUCACAGUGUUUAGGUUCGGGGUGAAAGCUACAAGGACAUUUCGGUGUUAGCUGGCAUUCGCUCAAGCACACCAUUUGCAAUCAGAACUGAAACUGACGAGGAAAUACCAUGACAUUAAAGCACAUAAAACUGGAUCCACUUCUGAUGAAAGCGUUCAUUGGUACUGAGCCCAGUGUAAGCUCUGCUGUCCCACUGUGUUUAGCGCUGGACACCUGGCAACCCAAUGCUGAGCUGGCCAAAAUGCAUCAUUGCAAUAUCCACUAGGGCACUCCACACAGACCCAGCACCACCUCAGGGAACGCCUUCCCCAGCAAAGAACUCAAAGAGAAAACUGCAAUAAGUUCCUUCUCUUCGUGUGAAGCAGAAGGAUAGACGAAGACAGAGAGACUGGAAGAAGCAUGGAGGUUUGGUGACUGAUUCUUCAGAUCCUGAGCUAUCAUUUCACAAUCUGAUGUUUGCAGAUUUUGUCAAGGUUUCCCACUCUAUGAAUGGCAUGCUUCACCUCAAAGUUACCAUCCAUCAAUUAAGAGUCUUGAACGGUGACUGAAGGCAAAAUCGGAGAAUAGGAUUUUCCAGAACUGCCCUUGGUGCAUUGGAGCUAUAGAGGACUGCAGAGAUAAUGUCAAUUUCCAGACCCAAGUGGAGCAGGUAUUAAGGCUGUGCAGCUGUAUCUGUCUGGACAGAACUACACAUAUUCUCCCAUGCUGCAAUGACAUCACCAGCAUCUCUGGCAGUGACUGUGCAUGACGGAGACAGACCAGAGCACUGAGCAAGAGCAGGAGGGAGCUGUGUGCAAUGUGGUUAGCCAGAAUCUAAGUAAUAAUAGAGGAUCACAGGAAAGUACUGCUCCCAGCGCUUCCUGGAAUGGUGCUUAACAGCUGAUUCUUUUCUAAAUUUGCCUUUAAUCAUACUCAGCAUCAGGCUAGUGUUUCCUCUGCUGUCCCUAUUACCUGGAACAGAUGUUCCAGAGAGAAUGGACAGACUUCCUAAUUGUGAUCUGGCUGCCUGAAAGCUGCUGAAUGUUUGUAGAGACACAUGAAUAGAUUCACAUCUUGAAUAGUAAUGCGUGGUAGUGAGAAAUGGGUACACAGUUUUGACGUCGACCGAUGCCAAAAUGAGAAUUGGAUAAGUGAUGAAUCUCCCUGCUUACCCUCAUCUGCCUCACUGAAUUUAGGGUCUUCAAAGGCCUGAGAAAGCCAGGCCUUUGAGAAUCCCAUACUGGAAUGAAAGGUGGUCAUUAAAAAUAUGGCGUACUCUGCAUUUUACCAAUGAAGAACACUCCUAUGAACACAUCCUUUGGCAUGUGUUUGGGUAUUUGAUGUACCAGUCACUGCCCAACUGCAGGAGCACAGGUGACAGAACAGUGGGAACGUGUCCUGGAGACCAGCAUCUACAGAAGACAUCUUUUCUUGCAAUAUUUUCCAUGGAAAACAUAUUGACAUAAUAUUUUCAUACUAUCAUGUCUAAUAUCAAAUGCUGUUCUCAGACAUUCUUUGAAUUAAAGAAAAAAAGGUGAACUUCUAUUAAUACCAUAUGGAAUCAGGUUAGUACUGCAACUAAAACACUUGGUGAAGAAGGCAAAUCCUUCCAUCUUCUCCUGCUCAAAGCAAUAGCAAAAUAGACAUAAGCUGUGUGAUUACCACCUUGUGGGUGUGACAGCAUUCAGGGUCAUGUUGAAUUACAAAUUUGAAACACACAGCCACGUGCAAAGCCCACUCCACCAGCUUCUGUUGCAACAAAAGAGUAGCAACAGGGAAGAGAUUUCUUAAAUUACUCAUGAUUUAUUUUCUGGAGUAAAUUUACCCCAUAGUUAUAAGUAUAGAUUAAUUCCAAUGUAUUUAUUUACUUAUUUAUUUAUUUGUAUUAUGUUUUUGGAAGCAAACCCUGCGCAGCCAAAUGGAGGUUUACUUAACAACAAUUAAAGAGUGUGAUUCAGUGUUUCCAAAUUCUUAAGCGUGAUCCUGCCGGGCACAUCUUGGGAUUAAAAUAGAGGAGAGGAACUCACUGGUAGUUGCUCAUUUAUUCCUGUCCUCACUGCCAGGCAGAAGAAACAACGCUCAGGAAGUCCAAGACUUUUCCUCACCACUGGAUCACAUGGCGUUGGAGCUUCACUCCCCAGUCAUCUGACAUCAAUUGCAUAGCUCAUUAGCACAAUCUUUUUGCUCAGAAGAGCACAGGAACACAUUUUCCAGGCAGUUGGGUGUUCUGUUAAUAUUUAGGACUUUCACAGUCUAAGAUAAGUGAACUCGAAGUUUCUAGUCUACCAGGAUUUGUUAGAGAUCAACCUCUUGCUAGCAAGGUGUGGCCUUUUUUUUUUUUUGCAAAACAAAUUUUAUUUUAUGUUCAUCUUCAAUAUGUUUCCAAAUACCUGUGCCUAGCACUGAUAAUCAUAGAAUGGUUUGAGUUGGAAGGGACCCUUCAAGGCCAUCUGGUCCAACUCCCCUGCAAUGGACAGGGACACCUACAGCUGAUCAGGUGCUCAGAGCCCCAUCCAACUAAUAAUGCUGGAUUGUUGACAGCAUUAACAUUUUUAAUUGGUACCAUUAGGUUUCAGAGUGCACAGCUCAAUUGCCAUUACUUUCAACGGGUCUACCUGGCUGUUCAGCUUGUCCCAUGGUCCUAAGUGCCUCCAAACUGUAAAAGCAACAAAAACCAGAUGCAUUUCAGAAAACAGCCAAAUGGUCUGCAGAAGUUCUCAAUAUAGAAAUCCACAGGAUAAUGAAAUACCAAAACUAAUAUUAAGAUGUGGCUACAGUAUUAAAAAAAAGGAAAUACAAGGGCAGUAUACUUAAUAUAUCAUUCACCUAUCUGCUGCAAGAAUCUCUGUUUGAAAUAUAUAUUAAGCUGCUAUAUAAUUUCCUUCUUACAAGAACAGAUUGUGAGAUAACAUCUCACUUCUUCUGCAAAAUUUAUACUUCAUUCUGCUGCAGAGCAAAAAGAGCUGUAAUGCACGGCACACACAUUGUCAUGUUCCGGUCUGGAGAGCAAUCUUGAAAUCAUUAGUCAGUUUGCAAGCAUAAGGAACGUAACAGAAUCUGUGAGAUGCAUGUGCUAACAACUUUAACGCUUAUGACCAAUCUGUUUUUUUAUAACAGUUUGUGAAUAUCUUUUAAGUAAACUACAUCUAUUAAUCUA